RNAcentral lists this ribosomal RNA (477 nucleotides) under uncultured bacterium. Its description in RNAcentral is "bacterial SSU rRNA". It matches the Rfam family "Bacterial small subunit ribosomal RNA", at positions 28 to 506 of the family's 1533-position model. The record is from RNAcentral.
GAUGAACGCUGGCGGCCUGCCUAACACAUGCAAGUCGAGCGGGAAGCUUUUUAAGGAUUCUUCGGAUGAAUUAAAAGUGGAGAGCGGCGGACGGGUGAGUAACGCGUGAGAAACCUGCCCUAUACAGGGGGAUAGCCAUUGGAAACGAUGAUUAAUACCCCAUAUGACCACAGUAUCGCAUGAUACAGCGGUGAAAACUCCGGUGGUAUAGGAUGGUCUCGCGUCUGAUUAGCUAGUUGGUGGGGUAACGGCCUACCAAGGCGACGAUCAGUAGCCGGCCUGAGAGGGUGACCGGCCACACUGGAACUGAGACACGGUCCAGACUCCUACGGGAGGCAGCAGUGGGGAAUAUUGCACAAUGGGGAAAGCCUGAUGCAGCAACGCCGCGUGGAGGAUGACACUUUUUUCGGAGCGUAAAACUCCUUUUAUAUAGGAAGAUAAUGACGGUACUAAUGAAUAAGCACCGGCUAACUCCGU